AUUCUACUAAAACGUUGGUGACUGCCAAUAGUGUUUUUUGAUCUUGACUUUAUGAAAAAGGGAACCAAGUCGUCUUGUGGCAGUAGACCGGGCAUGUACUCGGAAACUUUAAACGAGAUACCCACGGUACCCCCCUGGUAAUCCAGGUCAUAAACUGAGGUAAAACGGCGUUUCGGGGAAUCU
This is a non-coding RNA of Microcoleus sp., 183 nucleotides long. It matches the Rfam family "6S / SsrS RNA". Rfam says of the family: E. coli 6S RNA was the first non coding RNA to be sequenced, but its function was unknown until recently. It consists of 184 nucleotides that fold into an extended hairpin structure with a large single-stranded internal bulge. The record is from Rfam. NCBI's taxonomy places the organism in Bacteria, Bacillati, Cyanobacteriota, Cyanophyceae, Oscillatoriales, Microcoleaceae.